Molecule: ribosomal RNA, 266 nt
Filed under: uncultured bacterium
Lineage: Bacteria
Description: partial 16S ribosomal RNA
Rfam family: Bacterial small subunit ribosomal RNA
Source: RNAcentral
GUCCACGCAGUAAACGAUGGACACUAGCUCUCCGGGGCGGAAUGUCGCCUGGGGGGCACAGCGAAAGCGUUAAGUGUCCCACCUGGGGAGUACGCCGGCAACGGUGAAACUCAAAGGAAUUGACGGGGGCCCGCACAAGCGGAGGAACAUGUGGUUUAAUUCGAUGAUACGCGAGGAACCUUACCCGGGCUCAAAACGCGCGAGGAACACUUUUGAAAGGAGGUGGCCCUACGGGGGCCUCGUGCGAGGUGCUGCAUGGUUGUCGU